Monomorium pharaonis (pharaoh ant) is the source of this 813-nucleotide long non-coding RNA. RefSeq lists it as uncharacterized. The transcript is spliced from 2 exons. The record is from RefSeq and is a predicted model, not a curated record. Lineage: Eukaryota; Metazoa; Arthropoda; Insecta; Hymenoptera; Formicidae.
AAUAUUCAUCGCAUCGUCAUUCGUCCACGCGAAUCGGCAGCCGAUUACAAUACAUAAACGUCUCGCACGCGCACACACUGUAGUGCACUGCACUGACUACGUAUGUGCACGUGACAAGAAAGACCGAGAUCUUAGACUCUACGCACAAUUGAAAAAUAUUAGAUAUUAGAAAUAAAAAUUAGAAUUUUAAGCGCUCCUAUAAGUAGCGCCCUUUUUACGAUAUUAUGUUUAGUGUAUGAAUUUACAAUAACAUUGUCAUAAUCCCAAUGAGACAUGAUCCAUUGAAUCGACGUCGAAAUCAUUGACAUAUCGAAUCGAAAUAGCGUUCGAAAUAAGUUCAUUUUGAUGAGUUUUGUGAAUAUCAAUUUUUUUAAAGAUACACAUUAUUUGCAAUACGUAUUUAUCAUUGGGAUGUUAAAUAAGUAAAAAUACGACAUUUUUGCUAAGAUAUUGUGAAAAAAGCAUGUUAAAAAAAGGUCGAUUUUCCGAUUAAAAAUGUAACCUAGUUUUGUGUGUGUGUGUGUGUGUGUAUGUCGGGGGGAGGAGUAUACGAUUAUGUCAUAUUUAAAAUAAAUCUUUUUAUUGUAGCUGUAUUCUGAAAUUCAUUGCCAGUACUGAAAAUCUAUCAUAAUAUGAAUUAUAAAUUUUCAAUAUUAGCAGUGAAUUUCGGAACACAGCAUGUGUAUAUAAGAUUAAAAUUGUUUUAAAAUCUUUUUAAAAACUUUGUAUAAAAAAAAGGCGCACUUACUGUAUCGGUCAUAUAUUUAACGCCUAAAAAUUAUAAAAAAGAAAUAAAGUUUUUGUGCUAAAAAA